Long non-coding RNA from Columba livia (rock pigeon), 304 nucleotides. RefSeq lists it as uncharacterized. Lineage: Eukaryota; Metazoa; Chordata; Aves; Columbiformes; Columbidae. The record is from RefSeq and is a predicted model, not a curated record. The transcript has 2 exons.
GCUAAGGCAGCGCUGGCCAGCAGAACCUGCCCCAUGGGCAGCCGGACCCCAACUCGAGAUUCCCAAGGGGGAAAGGUCCCCCGGGCCCUGAAGGGAGGGCAGGGAGGGAGUUUGCACGUCGCUUCUCAGGCUCCGCCGAGCAGCAUGAACGGGACAGACUGCAAGCAGGUAGAGAAGAGCCUGGAUGGGAGAGAAAACGGACUAUUCACAGCACCACAUGCUCUCCGAACUAAACUUCACUGCAUCACCUCAUGAAGAAAUACAAGAACCAAACAUGACACACGGGGCUCAGUCCCCUUGGCCA